Molecule: ribosomal RNA, 254 nt
Filed under: Citrobacter werkmanii
Lineage: Bacteria; Pseudomonadati; Pseudomonadota; Gammaproteobacteria; Enterobacterales; Enterobacteriaceae
Description: partial 23S ribosomal RNA
Rfam family: Bacterial large subunit ribosomal RNA
Source: RNAcentral
ACCCAUGACCAGGUUGAAGUUCAGGUAAUACUGAAUGGAGGACCGAACCGACUUACGUUGAAAAGUGAGCGGAUGAACUGUGGGUAGCGGAGAAAUUCCAAUCGAACUUGGAGAUAGCUGGUUCUCUCCGAAAUAGCUUUAGGGCUAGCCUCAAGUGAUGAUUAUUGGAGGUAGAGCACUGUUUGGACGAGGGGCCCUUCUCGGGUUACCGAAUUCAGACAAACUCCGAAUGCCAAUCAAUUUAACUUGGGAGU